This 88-nucleotide transfer RNA is filed under the name Nitrospirota bacterium. RNAcentral's name for it is "Nitrospirae bacterium tRNA-Leu". It matches the Rfam family "tRNA". Rfam says of the family: Transfer RNA (tRNA) molecules are approximately 80 nucleotides in length. Lineage: Bacteria; Pseudomonadati; Nitrospirota. The record is from RNAcentral.
GCCGGAGUGGCGGAAUGGCAGACGCCAGGGACUUAAAAUCCCUUGUCCCUCACGGGGCGUCCCGGUUCGAGUCCGGGCUCCGGCACCA